GGGGGUGAUCUUUGGCUUUGACACUAAGAAUAUGUUGUAUGCGCUGUACCGAGACUGCUCUAGCACUCGUUAACGUUAGAGCGCCCAUGUUGCAAAAACAACUGGUAAGGCUAUUCCAUCGCCAUACGCGUUUGGUCUAGUUCCUGCGUUCGCCUAAAUACUGGCCGACCGGGUGUCCUUCUUUUUCGUAACCACGGAAAAAGUCUGGGCAAUAUAACAGUGGAAGUAGAUUGUAAUGUUGCAUAGCAUUACUAUUGAAAUAAUUCAUGCUAUACAUUCAUUGUUUUCGUUUGUUUUCUAUAAUGCAUGCGAACACAUAUAAGCAAACUACGUACAGUAGACCCAUGCAUCAUACCUUAGUACACGGGGGUUCGAUUCCGCCCACCUCCACUA
RNAcentral lists this transfer-messenger RNA (393 nucleotides) under Minisyncoccota bacterium. It matches the Rfam family "transfer-messenger RNA". From Rfam's summary of the family: Bacterial tmRNA, also known as 10Sa RNA or SsrA, is named for its dual tRNA and mRNA-like properties. Its role is to liberate the mRNA from a stalled ribosome. To accomplish this part of the tmRNA is used as a reading frame that ends in a translation stop signal. The record is from RNAcentral. Lineage: Bacteria; Bacillati; Minisyncoccota.